CUGGCGGGGAGUUCGUCCCACUCGGAGCCACAGCCUUGCCCGAGGGAGCCUCGAAAUCGUUCAAGGGCAACCUCAGACCAGAGCCAGGGCGCCUCCUCCACAUUCCUGACAGAUGUGCACGCCGCCUCCUCUUGGAUGCUUCCCGUGACAAGGAGCUCACUCCUCAACAAGGCGGACUGCUCGUCCAUCAAGCCUGGCAUCUAAUUCACCUGUGCCGGGUACCGCAGAUGGAGAACGCCAGACAGCUGACACAAAUGCAAGACCCACAGCAACCCCAGAGGCUGAAUUAUUUCCUCCUGGAUGGGAAUGAGUCAUCUCCUCCGCCGUCUCCCUCAACAGGGCUGUAACAUGUUUCCAAGGGUUUCAAAGCCCUGUUUGAAAACAUGGGCUUUGCGGACAGACCCAUGUUCAACUUCAACCCCAGCGGCUUCUGGGUGGGUGGCCUUGAGCAAGUCUCUUCCCAAAGGCUCAUCUUGCUCAUCUAUAAACACAGUGAGUACAAAUGAGAUGGACAAGAAGACCCCUGCCUCCAGGGCCCCAUUAUUAUUCCUUAGUUGUUUCUAAAACAAGUCUGCAGGCCACUCUCAGGCCUCCCUGGACCCCAGGGAAGCGGUCUAUAUAACUACUGCACCUAGAACAGUCCUUCAGCCCCCUCCCAGGCUGAUCUGAAAGGUUUCCUUCAGCUCCCUGGAUCACUGCUGAGAAACACAGGACAAGUCUCUUAAAGCCUGGCUUCCAUGGGCCUAGCCCCAAUGCUCACCUGCUCUGAGAAGCCAGAAUUCCUCAGGUGGACACCAGAUGGAGCCCCGCCAUGACCCUGUUGCUGAUAAAUGACCAUAGAGGAGACAGUCACAAUUCCAAGAAUCUGAG
This 870-nucleotide long non-coding RNA is filed under the name Homo sapiens (human). RNAcentral's name for it is "PREDICTED lncRNA (TCONS_00080844)". The record is from RNAcentral. Lineage: Eukaryota; Metazoa; Chordata; Mammalia; Primates; Hominidae.